UACAGAGGUCUCGAGCGUUGUUCGGAUUUACUGGGCGUAAAGGGAGCGUAGGCGGUUGGGUGUGUCGAACGUGAAAGCCCAAAACUCAACGAUGGAAAUGCGUUCGAAACUGCCCGGCUGGAGUACUGGAGAGGAGAGCGGAAUUCUCGGUGUAGCGGUGAAAUGCGUAGAUAUCGAGAAGAACACCGGUGGCGAAGGCGGCUCUCUGGCCAGAUACUGACGCUGAGGCUCUAAAGUCAGGGGAG
Molecule: ribosomal RNA, 245 nt
Filed under: uncultured bacterium
Lineage: Bacteria
Description: partial 16S ribosomal RNA
Rfam family: Bacterial small subunit ribosomal RNA
Source: RNAcentral